This 603-nucleotide long non-coding RNA is filed under the name Homo sapiens (human). Its description in RNAcentral is "HSALNT0033026". The record is from RNAcentral. Lineage: Eukaryota; Metazoa; Chordata; Mammalia; Primates; Hominidae.
AAUGCUUUUGGAUUGAUCUCUUGGUUAGUUAGAAUAGCAGCUAAAGUCUGAUUGUCCCGGCCCCUCAACUCUCAUCAGGUACCACACCUUACCUGAUGCUGCUGUGCUGUGGUCGCAGGUGAAUAACAGAGAGUAAUAAAAACAACUUACUAGGAUAUUGAACUUUAAAAAAUCUCUGUAGAGACUGAUUUCCAGAAAUGUUGCAGGGGCAUAUAAUUUAGAAAUUCCUUUAAAUCUCCAGGGUAGACAAGAUAAGAAAUUUCAGAAGAAUUUCACAAAAAUAAUAAAUUUAUUAUUUCUCAGUAAUAUAGGUAUUUGGUUCUCUAUAUUUUAGUAGCUAGUUCUCCACUAUAUAUUUUUAAAAUCAGAAUGUGUCUUCAUCUUCAGGAUCACAUUCCUGGAUUAUGCCAAGGGAAAGAACACUUUUUCUUCUUUGGAUAUGCAGAUUAUACAACCCUACAAAUAUAGGGCAUGUUGGGGCUUAUGGGACUGAGGAAUAAUACUCUUGCUCACCCCCAAGCCCCUGGGUUAGGUACCAGUUGAGUGACACACGUGGAGUGUGACAAAUGGAGAAAUAUCGGCAUUCGAAGAAAAAAAAAAGGG